GAUGAACGCUGGCGGCGUGCCUAAUACGUGCAAGUCGAGCGAACAGACGAGGAGCUUGCUCCUCUGACGUUAGCGGCGGACGGGUGAGUAACACGUGGAUAACCUACCUAUAAGACUGGGAUAACUUCGGGAAACCGGAGCUACUACCGGAUAAUAUAUUGAACCGCAUGGUUCAAUAGUGAAAGACGGUUUUGCUGUCACUUAUAGAUGGAUCCGCGCCGCAUUAGCUAGUUGGUAAGGUAACGGCUUACCAAGGCAACGAUGCGUAGCCGACCUGAGAGGGUGAUCGGCCACACUGGAACUGAGACACGGUCCAGACUCCUACGGGAGGCAGCAGUAGGGAAUCUUCCGCAAUGGGCGAAAGCCUGACGGAGCAACGCCGCGUGAGUGAAGAAGGUCUUCGGAUCGUAAAACUCUGUUAUUAGGGAAGAACAAAUGUGUAAGUAACUAUGCACGUCUUGACGGUACCUAAUCAGAAAGCCACGGCUAACUACGUG
RNAcentral lists this ribosomal RNA (497 nucleotides) under uncultured bacterium. Its description in RNAcentral is "partial 16S ribosomal RNA". It matches the Rfam family "Bacterial small subunit ribosomal RNA", at positions 28 to 507 of the family's 1533-position model. The record is from RNAcentral.